UUGUGCAGUUAACCAGGAAAGCCAUCUUCUCUGAUUGCUAAAUGAAUGAUACUGGAAUUUGCCCAGAAAGAAAACAACAACAACGACAUUGUUUUAGUAGACUUUGUCGUUCCCUGGGAUAUCCCUGCAUACAAGACUGCCCCCUUUUCAUACUGACAGCAUCAGAAGGAAAGGCUUAACCACAACACUGAUUCUCUCAAGGAGGAAAGAAUCAUCUAGAAGUCAUGGCAAUAUAGCGCUUUCUUUAAGAUGAAAUGCUGAUGUCCCAAAGCAGUGGAGGGAGACACCUAGAAAUGCCUCUUUUUCUACUGGCCACUGGACGUGAAUGUACAGCUAAAUGUCUCAGACCAUCUUUCUACCUUCCCAGGAUCUCCCAGGAGUGUCCUCCUGCAGAAAUUUCUUCUAGGUGUCUUCAG
RNAcentral lists this long non-coding RNA (416 nucleotides) under Mustela putorius furo (domestic ferret). RNAcentral describes it as "lncRNA (ENSMPUG00000026856.1)". The record is from RNAcentral. Lineage: Eukaryota; Metazoa; Chordata; Mammalia; Carnivora; Mustelidae.